CCUGAGUAAACCGGCGAACGGGUGAGUAACACGUAGGCAACUUACCUUGUGAACGGGAAUAACCCCGGGAAACCGGGACUAAUACCCGAUGAAAUCUCUUGCAGCAUGUAGAGAGAUCAAAAGUCCCAAAAGGACGUCACAAGAUGGGCCUGCGUCCCAUAAGAUAGUUGGCGGGGUAACGGCCCACCAAGUCAACGAUGGGUAGCUGGUCUGAGAGGACGAUCAGCCACACUGGAACUGAGACACGGUCCAGGCUUCUACGGAAGGCAGCAGUGAGGAAUAUUGCUCAAUGGGCGAAAGCCUGAAGCAGCGACGCCGCGUGAGGGAUGAAAUCCGUUAGGAUGUAAACCUCUUUUAUAAGGGAAGAAUGUUCCGAUUAUCGGAAUUGACGGUACCUUAUGAAUAAGCACCGGCCAACUACGUGCCAGCAGCCGCGGUAAUACGUAGGGUGCAAGCGUUGUCCGGAAUUACUGGGUGUAAAGGGUCCGCAGGCGGGCGAGCAAGUCGGUGGUGAAAGUCUUUGGCUCAACCAAAGAACUGCCUUCGAUACUGCUUGUCUUGAGUUCGAGAGAGGAUAAUGGAAUUCAUGGUGUAGCGGUGAAAUGCGUAGAGAUCAUGAAGAACACCAGUAGCGAAGGCGGUUAUCUGGCUCGAUACUGACGCUCAGGGACGAAAGCGUGGGUAGCAAACAGGAUUAGAUACCCUGGUAGUCC
RNAcentral lists this ribosomal RNA (713 nucleotides) under uncultured bacterium. RNAcentral's name for it is "bacterial SSU rRNA". It matches the Rfam family "Bacterial small subunit ribosomal RNA", at positions 85 to 796 of the family's 1533-position model. The record is from RNAcentral.